Molecule: ribosomal RNA, 254 nt
Filed under: uncultured bacterium
Lineage: Bacteria
Description: partial 16S ribosomal RNA
Rfam family: Bacterial small subunit ribosomal RNA
Source: RNAcentral
UACGAAGGGGGCUAGCGUUGCUCGGAAUUACUGGGCGUAAAGGGCGCGUAGGCGGAUGUUUAAGUCGGGGGUGAAAGCCCAGGGCUCAACCCUGGAAUUGCCUUCGAUACUGGACAUCUUGAGUGCGGGAGAGGUGAGUGGAACUCCGAGUGUAGAGGUGAAAUUCGUAGAUAUUCGGAAGAACACCAGUGGCGAAGGCGACUGACUGGACAAGUAUUGACGCUGAGGUGCGAAAGCGUGGGGAGCAAACAGGG